This 492-nucleotide ribosomal RNA is filed under the name uncultured bacterium. Its description in RNAcentral is "partial 16S ribosomal RNA". It matches the Rfam family "Bacterial small subunit ribosomal RNA", at positions 30 to 523 of the family's 1533-position model. The record is from RNAcentral.
AUUGAACGCUGGCGGCAUGCCUUACACAUGCAAGUCGAACGGUAACAGGUUAAGCUGACGAGUGGCGAACGGGUGAGUAAUGUAUCGGAACGUGCCCAGUCGGGGGGAUAACUGCUCGAAAGAGCAGCUAAUACCGCAUACGAUCUGCGGAUGAAAGCGGGGGAUCGCAAGACCUCGCGCGAUUGGAGCGGCCGAUAUCUGAUUAGCUAGUUGGUGGGGUAAAGGCCCACCAAGGCGACGAUCAGUAGCUGGUCUGAGAGGACGACCAGCCACACUGGGACUGAGACACGGCCCAGACUCCUACGGGAGGCAGCAGUGGGGAAUUUUGGACAAUGGGGGCAACCCUGAUCCAGCCAUGCCGCGUGCAGGAAGAAGGCCUUCGGGUUGUAAACUGCUUUUGUCAGGGAAGAAAUCCUUUGGGCUAAUACCCUGAGGGGAUGACGGUACCUGAAGAAUAAGCACCGGCUAACUACGUGCCAGCAGCCGCGGUAA